GAUGAACGCUGGCGGCGUGCCUAAUACAUGCAAGUCGAGCGAACAGACGAGGAGCUUGCUCCUCUGACUUUAUCGGCGGACGGGUGAGUAACACGUGGAUAACCUACCUAUGAGACUGGGAUAACUUCGGGAAACCGGAGCUAAUACCGGAUAAUAUAUUGAACCGCAUGGUUCAAUAGUGAAAGACGGUUUUGCUGUCACUUAUAGAUGGAUCCGCGCCGCAUUAGCUAGUUGGUAAGGUAACGGCUUACCAAGGCAACGAUGCGGAGCCGACCUGAGAGGGUGAUCGGCCACACUGGCACUGAGACACGGUACCGACUCCUACGGGAGGCAGCAGUAGGGACUCUUCCGCAAUGGGCGAAAGCCUGACGGAGCAACGCCGCGUGAGUGAUGAAGGUCUUCGGAUCGUAAAACUCUGUUAUUAGGGAAGAACAAAUGUGUAAGUAACUAUGCACGUCUUGACGGUACCUAAUCAGAAAGCCACGGCUAACUACGUG
Molecule: ribosomal RNA, 497 nt
Filed under: uncultured bacterium
Lineage: Bacteria
Description: partial 16S ribosomal RNA
Rfam family: Bacterial small subunit ribosomal RNA
Source: RNAcentral